AGUGAACGCUGGCGGUAGGCUUAACACAUGCAAGUCGAACGGCAGCACAGUAAGAGCUUGCUCUUACGGGUGGCGAGUGGCGGACGGGUGAGGAAUACAUCGGAAUCUACUUUUUCGUGGGGGUUAACGUAGGGAAACCUACGCUAAUACCGCAUACGACCUACGGGUGAAAGCAGGGGAUCUUCGGACCUUGCGCGAUUGAAUGAGCCGAUGUCGGAGUUGCUAGUUGGCGGGGUAAAGGCCCACCAAGGCGACGAUCCGUAGCUGGUCUGAGAGGAUGAUCGGCCACACUGGAACUGAGACACGGUCAAGACUCCUGAGGGAGGCAGCAGUGGGGAAUAUGGGACAAUGGGGGCAAGCCUGAUCCAGCCAGACCGCGUGGGUGAAGAAGGCCUUCGGGUUGGAAAGCCCUUUUGUUGGGAAAGAAAAGCAGCAGGUUAAGACCCCGCUGUUCUGACGGUACCCAAAGAAUAAGCACCGGCUAACUUCGUG
This 492-nucleotide ribosomal RNA is filed under the name uncultured bacterium. RNAcentral's name for it is "partial 16S ribosomal RNA". It matches the Rfam family "Bacterial small subunit ribosomal RNA", at positions 29 to 507 of the family's 1533-position model. The record is from RNAcentral.